This 696-nucleotide ribosomal RNA is filed under the name Amanita bulbulosa. Its description in RNAcentral is "Amanita sp. JEIC-2022b partial large subunit ribosomal RNA". It matches the Rfam family "Eukaryotic large subunit ribosomal RNA", at positions 256 to 941 of the family's 3401-position model. Lineage: Eukaryota; Fungi; Basidiomycota; Agaricomycetes; Agaricales; Amanitaceae. The record is from RNAcentral.
CUCAACGAGUCGAGUUGUUGGGAAUGCAGCUCUAAAUGGGUGGUAAAUUCCAUCUAAAGCUAAAUAUUGGCGAGAGACCGAUAGCGAACAAGUACCGUGAGGGAAAGAUGAAAAGAACUUUGGAAAGAGAGUUAAACAGUACGUGAAAUUGUGAAAGGGAAACGUUUGAAGUCAGUUGUGUUGGCUGGGGAUCAAGCCAGUCUUUUUGACUGGGUGUACUUCCUAGUUGACAGGCCAACAUCAGUUUUGACCGUCAGAGAAAGGCUUUGGGAAUGUGGCACCUUUACAAGGUGUGUUAUAGCCCUUGGUCGUAUGUGACGGUUGGGACUGAGGACAGCAGCGUGCCGCUUUGGCAGGGUUUCGACCACGUUCACGCUUGGGAUGUUGGCAUAAUGGCUUUAAGCGACCCGUCUUGAAACACGGACCAAGGAGUCUAACAUGCAUGCAAGUGUUUGGGUGGAAAACCCAAGCGCGUAAUGAAAGUGAAAGUUGAGAUCCUCGUUAGUGGGGAGCAUCGAUGCCCGGACCAGAACUUUUGGGACGGAUCUGCGGUAGAGCAAGCAUGUUGGGACCCGAAAGAUGGUGAACUAUGCCUGAAUAGGGUGAAGCCAGAGGAAACUCUGGUGGAGGCUCGUAGCGAUUCUGACGUGCAAAUCGAUCGUCGAAUUUGGUAUAGGGGCGAAAGACUAAUCGACC